RNAcentral lists this ribosomal RNA (434 nucleotides) under uncultured bacterium. Its description in RNAcentral is "partial 16S ribosomal RNA". It matches the Rfam family "Bacterial small subunit ribosomal RNA", at positions 29 to 507 of the family's 1533-position model. The record is from RNAcentral.
AGCGAACGCUGGCGGCAGGCCUAACACAUGCAAGUCGAACGAACCUUUCGGGGUUAGUGGCGGACGGGUUAGUAACACGUGGGAACGUGCCUUUAGGUUCGGAAUAACUCAGGGAAACUUGUGCUAAUACCGAAUGUGCCCUUCGGGGGAAAGAUUUAUCGCCUUUAGAGCGGCCCGCGUCUGAUUAGCUAGUUGGUUGAGGUAAUGGCUCACCAAGGCGACGAUCAGUAGCUGGUCUGAGAGGAUGAUCAGCCACAUUGGGACUGUGACACGGCCCAAAAUCCUACGGGAUGCAGCAGUGGGGAAUCGUGCGCAAUGGGCGAAAGCCUGACGCAGCCAUGCCGCGUGAAUGAUGAAGGUCUUAGGAUUGUAAAAUUCUUUCACCGGGGACGAUAAUGACGGUACCCGGAGAAGAAGCCCCGGCUAACUUCGUG